AUUGAACGCUAGCGGCAUGCCUAACACAUGCAAGUCGAACGGAGUGGCGGACGGGUGAGCAAUAUAUCGGCACGUGGGCAGUAGCGGGGGCUAACUACUCGAAAGAGUGGCUACUUCCGCUUACUAUUGGAGCGGCCGAUUUCGGUUUAGCUAGUUGGUGGGGUAAAGGCUCACCAAGGCAACGAUCCUUAGCUGGUCUGAGAGGACGACCGGCCACACUGGGACUGAGACACGGCCCAGACUCCUACGGGAGGCAGCAGUGGGGAAUUUUGGACAAUGGGGGAAACCCUGAUCCAGCCAUGCCGCGUGUGUGAAGAAGGUCUUCGGGUUGUAAAGUACUUUUGGCAGAGAAGCGGUAUCUGCAGAAUAAGCACCGGCUAACUACGUGCCAGCAGCCGCGGUAAUUC
This 407-nucleotide ribosomal RNA is filed under the name uncultured bacterium. RNAcentral describes it as "partial 16S ribosomal RNA". It matches the Rfam family "Bacterial small subunit ribosomal RNA", at positions 30 to 526 of the family's 1533-position model. The record is from RNAcentral.